GUUUAUUUGUAUCCCGCCACCAUCUCCCCCGGGGCAGCUCACAGAAGUAUCAAAUAUAAAACAAUAACAAUAUACAAUACAUCAAUAAACAAUAACAUGCACCAAUUGUAAUAUUUGCAAAUUAACCAAAAAGAAUAAAAACACACUUAUUAAAAACAUAGAAUUUAAAAACAGUGAGGUUGUAAUAGUAGAUUAGCAAAGUGCACAUAAGUUGUAAACUCAAAACAUAGAUAAAGUGCUACACAUUCGUUUGAGGUCAAUUUGGGAUGAGAGGAGCCCUGAGGUAAUGUCAGAUAACCAGAAGUGUGACCAAUGCAGAAAGGUCAGGAAAUAUAGUUAUGAUUAUGAUGGGGAUUGGCGAUCUUAACCAAAGGCCUGGGUGAAAAGCCAGGUUUUCAGGCUCUUCCGAAAUGCCAUCAGGGUGGGGGCUUGCCUGAUCUCCAUGGGGAGCGAGUUCCAGAACCAGGGGGCCACUACAGAGAAGGCCCUCUCUCUCGUCCCCACCAACCGCGCUUGUGACCGGUGGAAGCGAGAGGAGGGCCUCCCCGACAAAGGAAGAGAUCGAACUUCCAAGGCCACAUGUUUCCACAUCGUAUUCUUUCCCUCUAAAGUAGUGUCUUAUUGCUGUGGUGCAGCAAUAAGUUAUAGUAACCCUAAAGCAAAGCUAUCAGUGUUUUGUUUUUUGGCAGGAUUUAUUCAGAAAAGCAAUCCCUCUCCCCUCUCAUUUCCACCCCCUAAAUAUGUUAGAAUUUGUAUAUAAGUAUAUUCCUGAUUAAUUAUGAAGUCAGGACGAUUAGACAAAUCUUGGUGGCUGAUGUAAUCAUGUUUCUAAUGCAACUAUGUAGUAAUCCCAGACAAUAAGAAUGAAGUAAUGUAAUAGUUGUUUCAUUAAUAUUUGUAUACAUUGGGACAGCAAAUAUAACAUUUCACCUCAAUGUGGAUUGGUAUUGCUGAUUGGCGUUGUUGCUGUUUUCUUGGAGAAAGAGAUAGGUUGAAGAAUGUGUUGUUGAGUAGAAAUAGAGAGAUUGUUUUAUUCAGACUGUUUUGUAUUGCUGAACUACAAGAGAGAAAACCUUCCUGUUUUGGAAAUAUACUCUGUGUCUUCUGUUCAAAUCAGGUAAACUCCAGGGUUGCUAAGAACCAGAGCUACUUGUAUACAGACUAAAUGCUAAGGUGAGAAGCCCCAGAAGCAUCAGAAGAGCCACAAGCAACUAAGAUUUCAGCAAGAGCUUCAGCUUUAGAACAAGUCAGAAACAUGGCGAUGUCAAGCCUUUUUUGGCUGUGAUCUAUGUGGUAAAGGCUUCCAGAGAACGGUGGAUCUGCGGCCACGUGGAAUCAUCAGAAACAGUGAAUGGAUAUGCUGCCUGGUACCUGCAAACUAGGAAGUUCCUUCUGUUCCCCAGUUCUCCUUUUUCUGAAAAAGUUUUCUUAGGAAGACUGAGUUCCAUGAGUUUAUGUGGUUAACACACUGUUCAGUGUGACAAAUAGACUGAUUGUGUCUUCAUUUGCAACACUUUAUAGCUAAAACUGGUUGAAAAUGAAGUAUUUUCAAUCUGGGAACUCCCCCACUCCCAGUUAAUUGGACAGGGAGGGAUUUUGAUCCGUUUCUUUUUGAAUUUCAAUCUUAUCUGUACCAUAAAGAUGGUCACACAUAUGGCAGAGAAAGUCCCAGGCCUGUUCUGUUGCCAAUGAUGUCUUUAAUUCUUGUCAUUUGGGAAAAGCUACAUUAUGGGAUGUGUCUCCAACUGUGGAAAUGCUCUGAAUGUUCAGUCCUCUGAAAUGGCUCCUACAAGUGGUGGAGGUUCUUUCUUUGGAGGCUUUUAAGCAGAGGCUGGAUGACCAUCUAUCGGGGGUGAUUUGAAUGUGGUUUUCCUGCUUCUUGGCAGGGGGUUUAACGAUUCUAUCAUUUUAUGAAAUGCAUUAUGGUACAGUUUGUUCCCCACUUCCUUCCCCCUCCCUCUCCUCACCCUCUCUUCCGCUCCCCUCUCCCCCUACCUUUCAUGUCCCACUUUCCUUCCACUAUUUCCCACCUCUUUGCUCUUCUCCCCUCCACACAUCACACACACCUCAUACACCACACACAGCUCACAGACCUCACACAUCAGACGCCUGAUACAUUUCACAUAUCAGACACAUCAUACAAACCUCACACAUCUCUUAUAUGUCCCAUCUCAUAUCUUCUCUCUUCUUUCUCUGCCCUCUCUUCACUUUUUCUUUUCUCCUUUGCUUUUUUUUGGCUUCUCUUUGUCCUCUUCCUCUUCUUCUCUUUCUCUUUCUUUCUCCCCUAUUCCUCCUUUCCCUCCCCCUCUCCAUUCCCCCUUCCUUUUCUGGUUCGCCCCCUUCUACCUUCUCCCUUUCCCAUUUUCUAGAGCAUUAUCCUGCCCCUCUUCAGCUCUGCUGAACCACAGCCUCAUUUUCUCACUUCUCCCACUUGAUCCUCAGCUUAUUUCAAUUUCUGCAAACUGAAAUCAAAGGAUAUAAAUAGUACACAUUGAAUUGUGAAA
Long non-coding RNA from Anolis carolinensis (green anole), 2504 nucleotides. RefSeq lists it as uncharacterized. The transcript is spliced from 2 exons. Lineage: Eukaryota; Metazoa; Chordata; Lepidosauria; Squamata; Anolidae. The record is from RefSeq and is a predicted model, not a curated record.